GCGGCGUGCUAUACAUGCAGUCGUACGCUUCUUUUUCCACCGGAGCUUGCUCCACCGGAAAAAGAAGAGUGGCGAACGGGUGAGUAACACGUGGGUAACCUGCCCAUCAGAAGGGGAUAACACUUGGAAACAGGUGCUAAUACCGUAUAACAAUCGAAACCGCAUGGUUUUGAUUUGAAAGGCGCUUUCGGGUGUCGCUGAUGGAUGGACCCGCGGUGCAUUAGCUAGUUGGUGAGGUAACGGCUCACCAAGGCCACGAUGCAUAGCCGACCUGAGAGGGUGAUCGGCCACAUUGGGACUGAGACACGGCCCAAACUCCUACGGGAGGCAGCAGUAGGGAAUCUUCGGCAAUGGACGAAAGUCUGACCGAGCAACGCCGCGUGAGUGAAGAAGGUUUUCGGAUCGUAAAACUCUGUUGUUAGAGAAGAACAAGGAUGAGAGUAACUGUUCAUCCCUUGACGGUAUCUAACCAGAAAGCCACGGCUAACUACGUGCCAGCAGCCGCGGUAAUACGUAGGUGGCAAGCGUUGUCCGGAUUUAUUGGGCGUAAAGCGAGCGCAGGCGGUUUCUUAAGUCUGAUGUGAAAGCCCCCGGCUCAACCGGGGAGGGUCAUUGGAAACUGGGAGACUUGAGUGCAGAAGAGGAGAGUGGAAUUCCAUGUGUAGCGGUGAAAUGCGUAGAUAUAUGGAGGAACACCAGUGGCGAAGGCGGCUCUCUGGUCUGUAACUGACGCUGAGGCUCGAAAGCGUGGGGAGCAAACAGGAUUAGAUACCCUGGUAGUCCACGCCGUAAACGAUGAGUGCUAAGUGUUUGGAAGGUUUCCGCCCUUCAGUGCUGCAGCUAACGCAUUAAGCACUCCGCCUGGGGAGUACGACCGCAAGGUUGAAACUCAAAGGAAUUGACGGGGGCCCGCACAAGCGGUGGAGCAUGUGGUUUAAUUCGAAGCAACGCGAAGAACCUUACCAGGUCUUGACAUCCUUUGACCACUCUAGAGAUAGAGCUUCCCCUUCGGGGGCAAAAUGACAGGUGGUGCAUGGUUGUCCUCACCUCCUGUCCUGAGAAGUUUGGGUUAAUUCCCCCACCAACGCAACCCUUAUUGUUAUUUGCCUCCAUUCAGUUGGGGACUCUUUCAAGAAAUGCGGUGACAAACCGAAGAAAAGUGGGGGUUGAAAUCCAAUCAUCAAGGCCCC
RNAcentral lists this ribosomal RNA (1190 nucleotides) under Enterococcus durans. RNAcentral describes it as "bacterial SSU rRNA". It matches the Rfam family "Bacterial small subunit ribosomal RNA", at positions 39 to 1202 of the family's 1533-position model. Lineage: Bacteria; Bacillati; Bacillota; Bacilli; Lactobacillales; Enterococcaceae. The record is from RNAcentral.